Molecule: transfer RNA, 71 nt
Filed under: Loxodonta africana (African savanna elephant)
Lineage: Eukaryota; Metazoa; Chordata; Mammalia; Proboscidea; Elephantidae
Rfam family: tRNA
About the family: Transfer RNA (tRNA) molecules are approximately 80 nucleotides in length. Their secondary structure includes four short double-helical elements and three loops (D, anti-codon, and T loops). Further hydrogen bonds mediate the characteristic L-shaped molecular structure. tRNAs have two regions of fundamental functional importance: the anti-codon, which is responsible for specific mRNA codon recognition, and the 3' end, to which the tRNAs corresponding amino acid is attached (by aminoacyl-tRNA synthetases). tRNAs cope with the degeneracy of the genetic code in two manners: having more than one tRNA (with a specific anti-codon) for a particular amino acid; and 'wobble' base-pairing, i.e. permitting non-standard base-pairing at the 3rd anti-codon position.
Source: Rfam by way of RNAcentral
GCCCUGGUGGCACAAUGGUAAAGUGCUCGGUUACUAACUGAAAGGUUGGUGGUUUGAACCACCCAGGUGCU